RNAcentral lists this transfer RNA (73 nucleotides) under Paramuricea clavata. It matches the Rfam family "tRNA". Rfam says of the family: Transfer RNA (tRNA) molecules are approximately 80 nucleotides in length. Their secondary structure includes four short double-helical elements and three loops (D, anti-codon, and T loops). The record is from Rfam by way of RNAcentral. Lineage: Eukaryota; Metazoa; Cnidaria; Anthozoa; Malacalcyonacea; Plexauridae.
GACCGCGUAGCUCAGUUGGUAGAGCAUUGGGCUAGUAUUCCAAAGGUCGUAGGUUCGAUUCCCACCGUGCCCA